GUGGGGAAUAUUGCGCAAUGGGCGGAAGCCUGACGCAGCGACGCCGCGUGAGGGAUGACGGCCUUCGGGUUGUAAACCUCUUUCAGUAGGGACGAAGCGGAAGUGACGGUACCUACAGAAGAAGCACCGGCCAACUACGUGCCAGCAGCCGCGGUAAUACGUAGGGUGCAAGCGUUGUCCGGAAUUAUUGGGCGUAAAGAGCUCGUAGGCGGUCUGUCGCGUCGGCUGUGAAAUCCCGAGGCUCAACCUCGGGUCUGCAGUCGAUACGGGCAAACUAGAGUGUUGCAGGGGAGACUGGAAUUCCUGGUGUAGCGGUGAAAUGCGCAGAUAUCAGGAGGAACACCGGUGGCGAAGGCGGGUCUCUGGGCAACAACUGACGCUGAGGAGCGAAAGCGUGGGGAGCGAACAGGAUUAGAUACCCUGGUAGUCCACGCCGUAAACGGUGGGUACUAGGUGUGGGUUUCCUUCCUUGGGAUCCGUGCCGUAGCUAACGCAUUAAGUACCCCGCCUGGGGAGUACGGCCGCAAGGC
This 530-nucleotide ribosomal RNA is filed under the name uncultured bacterium. Its description in RNAcentral is "bacterial SSU rRNA". It matches the Rfam family "Bacterial small subunit ribosomal RNA", at positions 354 to 894 of the family's 1533-position model. The record is from RNAcentral.